This 250-nucleotide ribosomal RNA is filed under the name uncultured bacterium. Its description in RNAcentral is "partial 16S ribosomal RNA". It matches the Rfam family "Bacterial small subunit ribosomal RNA", at positions 524 to 773 of the family's 1533-position model. The record is from RNAcentral.
UACGUAGGGUGCGAGCGUUGUUCGGAAUCACUGGGCGUAAAGGGAGCGUAGGCGGGAUCGUAAGUUAGGAGUUUAAUACAUGGGCUCAACCCGUGAUAUGCUUUUAAUACUGCGGUUCUUGAGUAUGGGAGAGGGUGAUGGAAUUCCAGGUGUAGCGGUGGAAUGCGUAGAUAUCUGGAAGAACACCAGUAGCGAAGGCGGUCACCUGGCCCAAUACUGACGCUGAGGCUCGAAAGCUGGGGGAGCAAAC